This 468-nucleotide ribosomal RNA is filed under the name uncultured bacterium. RNAcentral's name for it is "partial 16S ribosomal RNA". It matches the Rfam family "Bacterial small subunit ribosomal RNA", at positions 28 to 507 of the family's 1533-position model. The record is from RNAcentral.
GACGAACGCUGGCGGCGUGCUUAACACAUGCAAGUCGAACGGAAAGGCCCUGCUUUUGUGGGGUGCUCGAGUGGCGAACGGGUGAGUAACACGUGAGUAACCUGCCCUUGACUUUGGGAUAACUUCAGGAAACUGGGGCUAAUACCGGAUAGGAGCUCCUGCUGCAUGGUGGGGGUUGGAAAGUUUCGGCGGUUGGGGAUGGACUCGCGGCUUAUCAGCUUGUUGGUGGGGUAGUGGCUUACCAAGGCUUUGACGGGUAGCCGGCCUGAGAGGGUGACCGGCCACAUAGGGACUGAGAUACGGCCCAGACUCCUACGGGAGGCAGCAGUGGGGAAUAUUGCACAAUGGGCGGAAGCCUGAUGCAGCAACGCCGCGUGCGGGAUGACGGCCCUAGGGUUGUAAACCGCUUUCGCCUGUGACGAAGCGUGAGUGACGGUAAUGGGUAAAGAAGCACCGGCUAACUACGUG